Molecule: long non-coding RNA, 5313 nt
Organism: Cyprinus carpio (common carp)
Lineage: Eukaryota; Metazoa; Chordata; Actinopteri; Cypriniformes; Cyprinidae
Source: Ensembl
GAGAUAAGGUAAGAUGGAUAAGAUGCAACUAAGUUACAAAGAGAAGAUAAGUUACAGGGGCUGUCCCAUGAAUAGUUUUAAAUGUUAGAAUCAAAAUUUUUAGUCUAGUACGUAAAUGUAAUGGAAGCCAAUGUAAGUUAAAGUAUCGGGGGCUAUUUCAUAGGUGGAAAAGUGCUGUUUUAUUAUGGGCAUCAACCAUCAAUUACAGAUCAAAAUGAACACCAAGAUCGCACACUUGAGAGGCUGGAGUAACUAAUACAGUCAGUAAUCAAACUGGAACAAUUAAAUGUAUGCAAAGCCAUUGACAUACCAACAAAUAAAAGUUCAGUUGAUUGAUUUAGGCUAUUUAAAACAAGGACAAUUUGAAGUAUGCAGGAUUAUAAUUGUAUAAAUAAUUAAAUAAAUUAAAAAAAUCAUAUAACAAAUGCCCAGGAGUUGAAUAAAUACACAUAUAUUAAUGAAUUAAGUUUAUUAAUGUUGUUGGGUCAUAGUAGUUACGUUUUGUUUUGCAGGUUGCUGCUGACAGUGAAGUGGACAUAGAGCAUAUGGAUGUAAAAUUCUUGCCAACAAAGGAAGUAAGUAAAACCGAAGAUAUAUCACUUUGUUCAGAACAACAAGCAAUCAAAGAUGUUGAGAACCUUCCAUCGGGCCAUGACACAAAUAAGCAGCAGUUCAUGUCUGGAUCUAAAGAGAGGAAUGAAACUGGAUCUGUACUACGAGAAGAUGACAGCAGAUUUACUCGUAGCUCAUCCUGUGAAUCACUAAAGCCUGUCUUUACCAUAGUGCUUGACUCUGAUCUUACCAAACCCAACCAGAUCCCACUGACACAACCUGUCCCAGCUUCUUCAACUAAAUGGGAUACUGUUUCAGUUGUUCAUGAUGGGACUGCAGAGACAUCAGAGGAUGGCUUGAAACUCUUGGAAGUCAGACCAAAUGUUGAUGUAGCCGUACAUGAAGAACAUGCUGUAAUAAGCUCUUCUGAUGAACCUGUACAUUUAUGUGCUGAUCUUUCAUCAUCAGAAGAGCAGUUUAAAGAAAACAGCCACACUGUUAAUAUUGAACCCACUUAUUCUGCUCUAGACCUUGAUUUCAGGCCUAAACCAGAGAAGGACUCAUCUACUCAAGCAUUUGACCCAAUGCUUUUAUACCCAGAAAAGCAUCAAGCAAGCUCUGGAACUGCUAAGAAAGUAUUUACCAUCAUCCUGGAUGUUGAAACUCCUACAUUAUCAUCAGACAGGUAUCAAUCACUGCAAGACACACAAUGUACAGGUCCUGACGACUCAACCACAGAUGAAUUCUCCCAUUCAGAUGUAAAAAGUCAACAGAAGAACCCAUUUGGUACUGAGAAACAUGAAGGCCGAAUGGCUGAACUAGGUCUUUCAGAAAAGUCCAAUGUGAAAUCAAGUAGCUCUGAAAUGCAGCCAGGACAGAAGGAAGCUCCGCUUAUCCAUCCCCAAACCCCUGAGAUCAUGGAGAAUGACAUUCAAAAAGAUGAAAAAGAGAAGCAACAUGAAGUCACUCAAGGCAGUGAGUCAGGGUCUGUUGUUCACCAGCAGGAUGUCCCAAUGUUGGAGAGUCAUGACAACAACACCUUUGAAGAGCCUUCAAAUGAAGCAAACGCACUUCAGAGGCCUCCAAAAGUUGCUAAAGGUAGGAAGAAAAACCGAAAACCAGUUAGUGUAGAAAAAGCAAUCAAUAUCAGUAAUAAAAAGCUGAGCACCUGUAAAUCUGAACAAAAGAACACAGCUCACUCAGAAAGCCUUCAAACUUCUGAGGUCAGGCUGCCGGACACCACAGAUAUGGCCUGUGUCAGCACAAUGACUGUGUCUUCAGACAUCAGUCAACCAAACACUGCAGAGCCAUUGAGUACAGAAGACAAACUAACAGUGGACACUGUGCAGAAAGAGACCUUGAAUCAAACUGAAACAGAGGAUCGACAUUUUGAAAACAUUAGCAUCUCACUUGCCAGAGACGCCCAUAUUAGUACCACAGAUACGGUUUUAGCAGCAGUAGAGACUGUACAGUCAACACAUACAGAGUACUCAGAACUAACGCCAGAAGAUUCUUCAUCUGUUGUGACAGCUGACUGUAUAACACAGUUUUCUACCACAGUCCCAUCAGAGUUACAACUCAGCCAUGCUGAAGCUCAGAGGACUGAGGAUUCAGAUGACAGUUUCCCUUUGCAGUAUGAAAAAAUGCACAGAGCCAAUUCAGAUUCAUCUGCCGGGAGCAAAACGUCCCAAAACAGAGGAUCAGGAGCAGAUGGUGAGGAUCAAACGAGGCAUGCGGAGCAGCCUACUGGGACACGUGUGUGGGCCACUUUACUGAACACCAUCUCUAAUGCUCAGCCACUUCUGAUCACCAAUCACGGUACUGAGGAAUCUAGACCAAGGAAAGAUUCCUUGCUUCAGAAGAGAUCACUUUUAGAGUCUGAUAGCGGUCUGGCAUGGACUGUCCUGUGGGUUUUCAGAUGUCGGUACAGACCGGCCCAACUUAACAUUGUACAUAUGGCUCAUCAGCUGGAAGAAGUUGAGAUCUGCCGGAAAUAUGUCCUGGAGCAGGUGUCUAGAUUGCCUCAACGUGAAUCUAGUGCAGGACGCUCUACAGAGCUUGAGCUGAGCAUAGAGGGCAGAUGGAACAGAGUACUGCUGGAUACCUCAACCAUGGUGGAGUUCAAAAAGGCACAGCUCCAGCUGGUCACACAGUACCACCUGCAAAAACAGGUUCUCACGGAUACUCUACACAACCUGGAGGCUGAGCUCAACACAAUGACACCGGAUUGCAUUGACAGCAGCACCUUACAAGUAGAGAAGCUGAAUGUAUUCCUGAAGAACAUGCAGAAGAAGAAAGGCACACUAGAGGAGCUCCUACAGACAUGCUCUCAGAUUUCAGCCCAUCUGGGUGAGGCAGAGGGACCUGUGGCCUUCAUUGAACCUUUUAGGACUUUACAGGAGAGAUGGCAAACUAUAGAGCGGGUUGCCUCCAGCAGUCUGUGGUGUGCUAACAUCUGCACAGCAGAAGUAUCUGCACUCCUGCAAGAAGCCAGAGAUCUGCACCAUGAACUGGUGCUUCUGGAGAAGUCAGUUUCUCUUCCACAUCCCUCUCAAGGACAGAUGGACUGCCGAAGUGAGCUACAAGAAACUGUCAGAACUGCAGACCUGGCAGCAUUAACAGAGCUCUACUUAUACCUUCUUGAGGUCUCUCAGGCUCUUUCCUCAAGUCCGCUGGGAAAAAAAGAGCUCAGAGAUAUGGAGGACGCAAUGCAGGGCUUGAAUUCUCAGCUUGCGUUGACUCAGGAGAAGCUCAGCUCCCAGACUUCGAAUGGCAAUGGCUGUUCACCGAUCUCGAGGAUUAUCAAGGACUACGUUACAUGGGCUAAACAAACAGAAAGCAAAGUCAGCAGGAGUAGGAGGUUGGCUCUGUUUCCUGAAGAGGCAAGUCACCAGGUCAACCACAUGAAGAAACUGCAGUCUGAAACAUCUCUUAAGAAGAUUCAGUUGGCCUCUGUAUUGAAAGAGCUAAGAGAGGAAGUUACAGGACUCGACAAGGAGGAUUCAAUGUCUCCCAUCCUUGCUUCCCUAGAGGAUUUGUACGUUAAGAUUACAGAGAAGACCGAAUGUGCUGUUGCAGAAAUGAACAGAAUGUUUCAAAUAAGAGAGAGACUGUGGAAACAGAUCACUGACAGCAGCUCUUGGUUAACCUCAGUAUUAGAAAAAGGGUCUGGUAAAACAGUGGCUUCUAAACCUAAAACUACAAUCCCAGAAUUGAGGGUUCAGCUUCAGGUAUGCACAGAGGCUUUGAAGGAAGCCGAGAGACAAGCAAAUAACUUAGAGACUCUGUUAGAUGAAAUAAAAAAUGUGAAUCACGGUCUGAGUGUACCCGAAAGCUUUCAGCUUAUGAAUAGGCUAACAGCCUUACAAGAAGAGGUCUCUAGGGUUGUGAACCGUAAGUGGGCCUUGCACUGGGUGCUUGAAGAACUCCUUCAUGCUCAGGAAUCUUCUGCUGAGGAGCAAAACGUCAUUCUGAAGAGCUUGAGACAGAUGAGUGCUGAUGUCAUGAGGCAGAAGUAUCCCGUAACAAGGGACUCACUCUUGGCUCUUGAACCUGUUCAGCACAUCCUGAUGGAGCUCCUGUGCAAGGUGCCAGAAAUUCCACACUGCCCGGAUUCUCGGAGGAAAGAGAUGCUCAACGCUGUACUAGACCUACAGAGGAGAAUGGAUCUGCUGGAGUUGCAAGCGAAAGAUCAUGAGGAGUACCUCAUUUUAAGGCAGUACAUGGAGAACUCCAGAGAGGUGGUGAAGAAGAGCUGGUCGCAGAUUGUAGACUCAAGUGUAGGAGCUAACAUAAGGCUCGGCUAUUGUCAGGCUGUCUUAGUGGAGCUAGCUCUGGUGAGAAUGACAUGUCAAGAAGCCACUGACCACCUUGAGGCUAUUUCGAAAGAUCUCUAUCCAUCUCAGCUGACAGCAGAAAGGCAAAAAAUCCAUUUGGUCAUUGAGCAGCUCUCCUCUUGGGAGCUCACAGUAAAAAAUGAGGCUAAAACCCUUGAGUGCUCUCUGGCGGAGCGACUCGGCAGUCCUGCAGACCUCAGUCCAUUCACUGAGCUCUUCAUCAGUGUCAGGCAGCAGCUGAAGCAGAGCAUCUCCUUGGAGCCAGAUAAUGAGACCACUGAUGCAGAGCUACGCAAGCACUGGAUGCGAAUCCAGACCACUGAGUCUGUUCUACGAAUGCUGGAGCACUGCAGGAAAGCAGUAGAUGCUGAAAGCUACCAGAUGACCAUUGGUCUUGGCCAGAAAACUCUUAAUGAUUACGGUAUGCAUAUGGACAAGCUGCUCCAAGCUCGGGAGGCACUGAAGCGUUACCACUCGGCUGUUCAGGGUGCAGAGAUCUUCUUUCAGCAGAUAAGAUCCAAUCUCAUGAUCCCCUCUGAUGGCUUCAAAGGCUACAAAGAGGAGCAUCGCUAUAUUCAACAGAUUUUCAGCACUCUGGUUGAGGGUUUCCAGACCCGCUUGUCUGAAGUUGGUGCUUCUGUUCCCCAGCAGACAUGCCUCUCCAUCCCUUUAACUGAGCAGCUUCAUAUAAAGGUUUUGUGUCACCUUCUAGUACAAGAUGCCAAAUUAGAAGCUCAGGCUCAGCUCAGACUUGAGGCCUUACAGAGGUUGGUCAUACUCUAUAAAGCACACUAUGGGAUGUUUUUCUAUAAAAACUUAAUGACCUUGUCCUAUGAUUCAGAUUGUUGCUUUCACAAUUCCCUCCGAUUGUUGUUGACAUUUUCAUAUCUAAUUGGAAGAUGAUUUUAUAAUUGUAAAUAGUGGG